This 406-nucleotide ribosomal RNA is filed under the name uncultured bacterium. RNAcentral's name for it is "partial 16S ribosomal RNA". It matches the Rfam family "Bacterial small subunit ribosomal RNA", at positions 29 to 526 of the family's 1533-position model. The record is from RNAcentral.
AUUGAACGCUGGCGGCAGGCCUAACACAUGCAAGUCGAACGAGUGGCGGACGGGUGAGUAAUGUCUGGGAAACUGCCCGAUGGAGGGGGAUAACUACUGGAAACGGUAGCUAAUACCGCAUACCAUCGGAUGUGCCCAGAUGGGAUUAGCUAGUGGGUGGGGUAACGGCGCACCUAGGGGACGAUCCCUAGCUGGUCUGAUAGGAUGACCAGACCCAGUGGACCGGAGACACGGUUCAGACUCGUCCGGGAGGCAGGAGUGGGGAAUAUUGCACAAUGGGCGCAAGGCUGAUGCAGCCAUGACGCGUGGAAGAAGAAGGCCUUCGGGUUGUACAGUACUUCCAGCGGGGCGGCGUUACCCGGAGAAGAAGCAUCGGCUAACUCCUCGACAGCAGCCGCGGUAAUUC